GAUGAACGCUGGCGGCGUGCCUAACACAUGCAAGUCGAGCGAACGGACGAGAAUCUUGCUUUUCUGAUGUUAGCGGCGGACGGGUGAGUAACACGUGGAUAACUUACCUAUAAGACUGGGAUAACUUCGGGAAACCUGAGCUAAUACCGGAUAAUAUUUUGAACCUCAUGGUUCAAAAGUGAAAGACGGUCUUUCUGUCACUUAUUGAUGGAUCCGCGCUGCAUUAGCUAGUUGGUAAGGUAACGGCUUACCAAGGCAACGAUGCAUAGCCGACCUGAGAGGGUGAUCGGCCACACUGGAACUGAGACACAGUACAGACUCCUACGGGAGGCAGCAGUAGGGAAUCUUCCGCAAUGGGCGAAAGCCUGACGGAGCAACGCCGCGUGAGUGAUGAAGGUCUUCGGAUCGUAAAACUCUGUUAUUAGGGAGGAACAUAUGUGUAAGUAACUGUGCACAUAUUGACGGUACCUAAUCAAAAAGCCACGGCUAACUACGUG
RNAcentral lists this ribosomal RNA (497 nucleotides) under uncultured bacterium. RNAcentral describes it as "partial 16S ribosomal RNA". It matches the Rfam family "Bacterial small subunit ribosomal RNA", at positions 28 to 507 of the family's 1533-position model. The record is from RNAcentral.